AAAACCAAUGCCCUUCGGGGCUCCUUGGUGAUUCAUAAUAACUUCACGAAUCGCAUGGCCUUGCGCCGGCGAUGGUUCAUUCAAAUUUCUGCCCUAUCAACUUUCGAUGGUAGGAUAGUGGCCUACCAUGGUGGCAACGGGUAACGGGGAAUUAGGGUUCGAUUCCGGAGAGGGAGCCUGAGAAACGGCUACCACAUCCAAGGAAGGCAGCAGGCGCGCAAAUUACCCAAUCCCGAUACGGGGAGGUAGUGACAAUAAAUACUGAUACAGGGCUCUUUUGGGUCUUGUAAUUGGAAUGAGUACAAUCUAAAUCCCUUAACGAGGAACAAUUGGAGGGCAAGUCUGGUGCCAGCAGCCGCGGUAAUUCCAGCUCCAAUAGCGUAUAUUAAGUUGUUGCAGUUAAAAAGCUCGUAGUUGAACCUUGGGCCUGGCUGGCCGGUCCGCCUCACCGCGAGUACUGGUCCGGCUGGGCCUUUCCUUCUGGGGAACCCCAUGGCCUUCACUGGCUGUGGCGGGGAACCAGGACUUUUAC
Molecule: ribosomal RNA, 532 nt
Filed under: uncultured Sagenomella
Lineage: Eukaryota; Fungi; Ascomycota; Eurotiomycetes; Eurotiales; Trichocomaceae
Description: SSU rRNA
Rfam family: Eukaryotic small subunit ribosomal RNA
Source: RNAcentral